This 494-nucleotide ribosomal RNA is filed under the name uncultured bacterium. RNAcentral describes it as "partial 16S ribosomal RNA". It matches the Rfam family "Bacterial small subunit ribosomal RNA", at positions 28 to 507 of the family's 1533-position model. The record is from RNAcentral.
GACGAACGCUGGCGGCGUGCUUAACACAUGCAAGUCGAACGGUGAAGCGCCUUCCUUUUUGGUGGGUGUGGAUGAGUGGCGAACGGGUGAGUAACACGUGAGUAACCUGCCCCCUUCUUCUGGAUAACCGCAUGAAAGUGUGGCUAAUACGGGAUAUUCUGGGUCUGUCGCAUGAUGGGUCUGGGAAAGAUAUUGUUUCGGUGGGGGAUGGGCUCGCGGCCUAUCAGCUUGUUGGUGGGGUGAUGGCCUACCAAGGCGGUGACGGGUAGCCGGCCUGAGAGGGUGGACGGUCACACGGGGACUGAGACACGGCCCAGACUCCUACGGGAGGCAGCAGUGGGGAAUAUGGCACAAUGGGCGCAAGCCUGAUGCAGCGACGCCGCGUGAGGGAUGGAGGCCUUCGGGUUGUGAACCUCUUUCGCCAGUGAAGCAGGCCUGCCUCGUUUGUGGGUGGGUUGACGGUAGCUGGAUAAGAAGCGCCGGCUAACUACGUG